UUGCUAUUUCUAGAGAUAGAAAGUUACUUUCGGUACAUCGGUGACAGGUGGUGCAUGGUUGUCGUCAGCUCGUGUCGUGAGAUGUUGGGUUUAAGUCCCGCAACGAGCGCAACCCCUAUUGUUAGUUGCCAUCAUUCAGUUGGGCACUCUAGCGAGACUGCCGGUAAUAAACCGGAGGAAGGUGGGGAUGACGUCAAAUCAUCAUGCCCCUUAUGACCUGGGCUACACACGUGCUACAAUGGUUGGUACAACGAGUUGCGAGUCGGUGACGGCGAGCUAAUCUCUUAAAGCCAAUCUCAGUUCGGAUUGUAGGCUGCAACUCGCCUACAUGAAGUCGGAAUCGCUAGUAAUCGCGGAUCAGCACGCCGCGGUGAAUACGUUCCCGGGCCUU
This 391-nucleotide ribosomal RNA is filed under the name uncultured Streptococcus sp. Its description in RNAcentral is "bacterial SSU rRNA". It matches the Rfam family "Bacterial small subunit ribosomal RNA", at positions 991 to 1382 of the family's 1533-position model. Lineage: Bacteria; Bacillati; Bacillota; Bacilli; Lactobacillales; Streptococcaceae. The record is from RNAcentral.